UUCUAAGGGCGGUGAAGUCAGACCGGAAGGACUGGUGGAGCGCUUAGAAGUGAGAAUGCCGGUAUGAGUAGCGAAAGAAGGGUGAGAAUCCCUUCCACCGAAUAUCUAAGGUUUCCUGAGGAAGGCUCGUCCGCUCAGGGUUAGUCGGGACCUAAGCCGAGGCCGAUAGGCGUAGGCGAUGGACAACAGGUAGAGAUUCCUGUACCAGUGCUAAUUGUUUAACCGAUGGGGUGACACAGAAGGAUAGGGAAUCGCACGAAUGGAAAUGUGCGUCCAAGCAGUGAGUGUGAGAAGUAGGCAAAUCCGCUUCUCGCGAAGCAUGAGCUGUGAUGGGGAAGGAAAUUAAGUACGGAAGUUCCUGAUUUCACGCUGUCAAGAAAAGCCUCUAGGAAGAGUAGUACUGCCCGUACCGCAAACCGACACAGGUAGAUGAGGAGAGAAUCCUAAGGUGAGCGAGAGAACUCUCGUUAAGGAACUCGGCAAAAUGACCCCGUAACUUCGGGAGAAGGGGUGCUCUAUUAGGGUGCAAGCCCGAGAGAGCCGCAGUGAAUAGGCCCAGGCGACUGUUUAGCAAAAACACAGGUCUCUGCAAAACCGUAAGGUGACGUAUAGGGGCUGACGCCUGCCCGGUGCUGGAAGGUUAAGAGGAGUGCUUAGCUUCGGCGAAGGUACGAAUUGAAGCCCCAGUAAACGGCGGCCGUAACUAUAACGGUCCUAAGGUAGCGAAAUUCCUUGUCGGGUAAGUUCCGACCCGCACGAAAGGCGCAACGAUCUGGGCACUGUCUCAACGAGAGACUCGGUGAAAUUAUAGUACCUGUGAAGAUGCAGGUUACCCGCGACAGGACGGAAAGACCCCGUGGAGCUUUACUGCAACCUGAUAUGGAAUGUUUGUACCGCUUGUACAGGAUAGGUAGGAGCCGAAGAGACGUGUGCGCUAGCAUACGAGGAGGCAAUGGUGGGAUACUACCCUGGCUGUAUGACCAUUCUAACCCGCCACGCUUAGCGCGUGGGGAGACAGUGUCAGGUGGGCAGUUUGACUGGGGCGGUCGCCUCCUAAAGAGUAACGGAGGCGCCCAAAGGUUCCC
Molecule: ribosomal RNA, 1085 nt
Filed under: Listeria monocytogenes
Lineage: Bacteria; Bacillati; Bacillota; Bacilli; Caryophanales; Listeriaceae
Description: partial 23S ribosomal RNA
Rfam family: Bacterial large subunit ribosomal RNA
Source: RNAcentral